CCCUUAGAUGUCCGGGGCUGCCCGCGCGCUACACUGAAGGAAUCAGCGUGCUAAAACCAUUGUCGAAAGGCAUUGGUAAACCCAUUAAAAUCCUACGUGAUUGGGAUCGGGAAUUGCAAUUAUUUCCCUUGAACGAGGAAUUCCCAGUAAGUGUGGGUCAUAAGCUCGCGUUGAUUACGUCCCUGCCCUUUGUACACACCGCCCGUCGCUGCCCGGGACUGAGCCGUUUCGAGAAAAGCGGGGACUGCUGCUGUCGGGGCUUUCGGGCCUUGGCUUCGGUGGAAACCGCUUUAAUCGCAGUGGCUUGAACCGGGCAAAAGUCGUAACA
This 328-nucleotide ribosomal RNA is filed under the name uncultured eukaryote. RNAcentral's name for it is "partial 18S ribosomal RNA". It matches the Rfam family "Eukaryotic small subunit ribosomal RNA", at positions 1470 to 1796 of the family's 1831-position model. The record is from RNAcentral.